UGUCCCAUAAAUCGAGACUAGUAUGAAUGGCUAAACGAGGUCUUAACUGUCUCUUACAGGCAAUCGGUGAAAUUGAUCUCCCUGUACAAAAGCAGGGAUAAACACAUAAGACGAGAAGACCCUGUGGAACUUUAAAACCAGCAACCACCUUAAAACACAUACUCACCCACCGGGUUCACUGACACAUAAGAUACUGGUCUGCGUUUUUCGGUUGGGGCGACCUUGGAGUAAAACAAAACCUCCAAAAAUUAGACCAAACCUCUAGACUGAGAGCAACCCCUCAACGUGCUAAUAGCAUCCAGACCCAAUAUAAUUGAUCAAUGGACCAAGCUACCCCAGGGAUAACAGCGCAAUCUCCUUCGAGAGUCCAUAUCGACAAGGAGGUUUACGACCUCGAUGUUGGAUCAGGACAUCCUAGUGGUGCAGCCGCUACUAAGGGUUCGUUUGUUCAACGAUUAACAGU
Molecule: ribosomal RNA, 463 nt
Filed under: Chloris sinica (oriental greenfinch)
Lineage: Eukaryota; Metazoa; Chordata; Aves; Passeriformes; Fringillidae
Description: partial 16S ribosomal RNA
Rfam family: Bacterial large subunit ribosomal RNA
Source: RNAcentral